This 408-nucleotide ribosomal RNA is filed under the name uncultured bacterium. Its description in RNAcentral is "partial 16S ribosomal RNA". It matches the Rfam family "Bacterial small subunit ribosomal RNA", at positions 28 to 526 of the family's 1533-position model. The record is from RNAcentral.
GACGAACGCUGGCGGCGUGCUUAACACAUGCAAGUCGAACGGAGUGGCGAACGGGUGAGUAACACGUGGUUGACCUGCCCUGCACUUCGGGUUAAGCCUGGGAAACUGGGUCUAAUACCGGAUAGUGGGGGAUGGGCCCGCGGCCUAUCAGCUUGUUGGUGGGGUAAUGGCCUACCAAGGCGGCGACGGGUAGCCGGCCUGAGAGGGUGGACGGCCACAUGGGGACAGAGCUACGGACCAGAAUCCUACGGGAGGCAGCAGUGGGGAGUUUUGCACCAUUGGCGGAAGCCUGAUGCAGCGACGCCGGGUGGGGGAUGACGGCAUUCUGGUUGUAAACGCCUUUACCCUUUGACGCGGUAGAUGGAGAAGACGCACCGGCUAACUACGUGCCAGCAGCCGCGGUAAAAC